UUAAUUGAAGCUAAAAUAUGAAGCAUUCCACUGUUAAUGGAAAAAAUGGUAAACCCCAAUUAAA
This 64-nucleotide transfer RNA is filed under the name Neosymplana vittatum. RNAcentral describes it as "tRNA-Asn". The record is from RNAcentral. Lineage: Eukaryota; Metazoa; Arthropoda; Insecta; Hemiptera; Caliscelidae.